UACAGAGGGUGCAAGCGUUGUUCGGAAUCAUUGGGCGUAAAGCGCUUGUAGGCGGCCUGUCAAGUCGCGUGUGAAAUCCCCUGGCUUAACCAGGGAAGUGCGCGCGAAACUGGCGGGCUUGAGUGCCGGAGAGGGUCGCGGAAUUCCCGGUGUAGAGGUGAAAUUCGUAGAUAUCGGGAGGAACACCAGUGGCGAAGGCGGCGACCUGGACGGACACUGACGCUGAGACGCGAAAGCGUGGGGAGCAAACAGG
This 253-nucleotide ribosomal RNA is filed under the name uncultured bacterium. RNAcentral's name for it is "partial 16S ribosomal RNA". It matches the Rfam family "Bacterial small subunit ribosomal RNA", at positions 524 to 776 of the family's 1533-position model. The record is from RNAcentral.